Triticum aestivum (bread wheat) is the source of this 125-nucleotide non-coding RNA. NCBI's taxonomy places the organism in Eukaryota, Viridiplantae, Streptophyta, Magnoliopsida, Poales, Poaceae. The record is from Rfam.
GAAUUACUCCCUCUGUCCGGAAAUACUUGUCGUAAAAAUGAAUACAAAUGAAUGUAUCUAGAACUAAAAUACAUCUAGAUACCUUCAUUCCUUGGACAAGUAUUUUCGGAUGAAGGGAGUACUUG